This 119-nucleotide ribosomal RNA is filed under the name Pteropus alecto (black flying fox). The record is from RNAcentral. Lineage: Eukaryota; Metazoa; Chordata; Mammalia; Chiroptera; Pteropodidae.
AUCUAUGGCCAUGCCACUCUGAAUGUGCCCGAUCUCAUCUGAUCUCAGAAGCUAAGAAGGGUCAGGCCUGGUUAGUACUUGGAUGGGAGACCACCUAGGAAUACUGGGUGCUGUAGGCA